Molecule: ribosomal RNA, 445 nt
Filed under: uncultured bacterium
Lineage: Bacteria
Description: bacterial SSU rRNA
Rfam family: Bacterial small subunit ribosomal RNA
Source: RNAcentral
ACUCCUACGGGAGGCAGCAGUGGGGAGUAUUGGACAAUGGGGGCAACCCUGAUCCAGCAAUGCCGCGUGAGUGAUGAAGGCCUUAGGGUUGUAAAGCUCUUUCGGCGGGGAAGAUGAUGACGGUACCCGCAGAAGAAGCCCCGGCUAACUUCGUGCCAGCAGCCGCGGUAAUACGAAGGGGCUAGCGUUGUUCGGAAUUACUGGGCGUAAAGGGCGCGUAGGCGGUCUUGUAAGUCAGGCGUGAAAGGCCCGGGCUCAACCUGGGGACUGCGCUUGAUACUGCGAGGCUUGAAUCCGGGAGAGGAUGGCGGAAUUCCCAGUGUAGAGGUGAAAUUCGUAGAUAUUGGGAAGAACACCGGUGGCGAAGGCGGCCAUCUGGCCCGUGAUUGACGCUGAGCCGCGAAAGCGUGGGGAGCAAACAGGAUUAGAUACCCUGGUAGGCUCU